RNAcentral lists this ribosomal RNA (1292 nucleotides) under Salmonella enterica subsp. enterica serovar Alachua. RNAcentral describes it as "partial 23S ribosomal RNA". It matches the Rfam family "Bacterial large subunit ribosomal RNA", at positions 464 to 1757 of the family's 2925-position model. Lineage: Bacteria; Pseudomonadati; Pseudomonadota; Gammaproteobacteria; Enterobacterales; Enterobacteriaceae. The record is from RNAcentral.
GGCUAAAUACUCCUGACUGACCGAUAGUGAACCAGUACCGUGAGGGAAAGGCGAAAAGAACCCCGGCGAGGGGAGUGAAAAAGAACCUGAAACCGUGUACGUACAAGCAGUGGGAGCACAGGUUUACCUGUGUGACUGCGUACCUUUUGUAUAAUGGGUCAGCGACUUAUAUUCUGUAGCAAGGUUAACCGUAUAGGGGAGCCGGAGGGAAACCGAGUCUUAAUUGGGCGUUAAGUUGCAGGGUAUAGACCCGAAACCCGGUGAUCUAGCCAUGGGCAGGUUGAAGGUUGGGUAACACUAACUGGAGGACCGAACCGACUAAUGUUGAAAAAUUAGCGGAUGACCUGUGGCUGGGGGUGAAAGGCCAAUCAAACCGGGAGAUAGCUGGUUCUCCCCGAAAGCUAUUUAGGUAGCGCCUCGUGAAUUCAUCUCCGGGGGUAGAGCACUGUUUCGGCUAGGGGGCCAUCCCGGCUUACCAACCCGAUGCAAACUGCGAAUACCGGAGAAUGUUAUCACGGGAGACACACGGCGGGUGCUAACGUCCGUCGUGAAGAGGGAAACAACCCAGACCGCCAGCUAAGGUCCCAAAGUCAUGGUUAAGUGGGAAACGAUGUGGGAAGGCCCAGACAGCCAGGAUGUUGGCUUAGAAGCAGCCAUCAUUUAAAGAAAGCGUAAUAGCUCACUGGUCGAGUCGGCCUGCGCGGAAGAUGUAACGGGGCUAAACCAUGCACCGAAGCUGCGGCAGCGACACUGUGUGUUGUUGGGUAGGGGAGCGUUCUGUAAGCCUGUGAAGGUGGCCUGUGAGGGUUGCUGGAGGUAUCAGAAGUGCGAAUGCUGACAUAAGUAACGAUAAAGCGGGUGAAAAGCCCGCUCGCCGGAAGACCAAGGGUUCCUGUCCAACGUUAAUCGGGGCAGGGUGAGUCGACCCCUAAGGCGAGGCCGAAAGGCGUAGUCGAUGGGAAACGGGUUAAUAUUCCCGUACUUGGUGUUACUGCGAAGGGGGGACGGAGAAGGCUAUGUUGGCCGGGCGACGGUUGUCCCGGUUUAAGCGUGUAGGCUGGUUUUCCAGGCAAAUCCGGAAAAUCAAGGCUGAGGCGUGACGACGAGGCACUACGGUGCUGAAGCAACAAAUGCCCUGCUUCCAGGAAAAGCCUCUAAGCAUCAGGUAACAUCAAAUCGUACCCCAAACCGACACAGGUGGUCAGGUAGAGAAUACCAAGGCGCUUGAGAGAACUCGGGUGAAGGAACUAGGCAAAAUGGUGCCGUAACUUCGGGAGAAGGCACGCUGACAC